AUUUAUUCUGGAUCAAUGUGGGGAGAACCCUGAUCCAAGGCAUUAGCGGCGGUGUGUUGAAGAAGGGCCUUAUUGGUUGUAAGGCAGCCUUAAAGCGAGAGGAGGGAGCCUUACCUGGUUUAAUUCCUUGGAUAUAGUGGGACGUUGACUUCGGCAAGAAUAAGCACCGGUCUAAUUCUGUGGCAUGCAGGCCGGCGGUAAUACCAGAGGGUGCAAGCGUUAAUUGGGAUUUUCCUGGGCGUAAAAGCGCGCGUAGGUGGGCUAAUUUAAGUCAAAAUGUGAAAUUCCCCCGAGCUUAACUUGGGAAAUUGCAUUCGAUACUGGUUAGCUAGAGUAUGGGAGAGGGAUGGUAGAAUUCCAGGUGUAGCGGUGAAAUGCGUAGAGAUCUGGAGGAAUACCGAUGGCGAAGGCAGCCAUCUGGCCUAAUACUGACACUGAGGUGCGAAAGCAUGGGGAGCAAACAGGAUUAGAUACCCUGGUAGUCCAUGCCGUAAACGAUGUCUACUAGCCGUUGGGGCCCUUGAGGCUUUAGUGGCGCAGCUAACGCGAUAAGUAGACCGCCUGGGGAGUACGGUCGCAAGACUAAAACUCAAAUGAAUUGACGGGGGCCCGCACAAGCGGUGGAGCAUGUGGUUUAAUUCGAUGCAACGCGAAGAACCUUACCUGGCCUUGACAUACAGAGAACUUUCCAGAGAUGGAUUGGUGCCUUCGGGAACUUUGAUACAGGUGCUGCAUGGCUGUCGUCAGCUCGUGUCGUGAGAUGUUGGGUUAAGUCCCGCAACGAGCGCAACCCUUUUCCUUAUUUGCCAGCACUUUGGGUGGGAACUUUAAGGAUACUGCCAGUGACAAACUGGAGGAAGGCGGGGACGACGUCAAGUCAUCAUGGCCCUUACGGCCAGGGCUACACACGUGCUACAAUGGUCGGUACAAAGGGUUGCUACUGCGCGAGCAGAUGCUAAUCUCAAAAAGCCGAUCGUAGUCCGGAUCGCAGUUUGCAACUCGACUGCGUGAAGUCGGAAUCGCUAGUAAUCGCGGAUCAGAAUGCCGCGGUGAAUACGUUCCCGGGCCUUGUACACACCCCCCGUCACACCAUGGGAGUUUGUUGCACCAGAAGUAGGUAGUCUAACCGCAAGGAGGACGCUA
Molecule: ribosomal RNA, 1143 nt
Filed under: Acinetobacter sp. B11
Lineage: Bacteria; Pseudomonadati; Pseudomonadota; Gammaproteobacteria; Moraxellales; Moraxellaceae
Description: bacterial SSU rRNA
Rfam family: Bacterial small subunit ribosomal RNA
Source: RNAcentral